GAUUUUGGCAAAGGGUCAGUGCAUCCGGCUGUGAACCAGAAGGUUGGUGGUUCGAGCCCACCCAGGGACU
RNAcentral lists this transfer RNA (70 nucleotides) under Podarcis lilfordi (Lilford's wall lizard). Its description in RNAcentral is "tRNA.His". The stretch from base 6 to 62 matches the Rfam family "tRNA", at positions 8 to 63 of the family's 71-position model. Rfam says of the family: Transfer RNA (tRNA) molecules are approximately 80 nucleotides in length. Their secondary structure includes four short double-helical elements and three loops (D, anti-codon, and T loops). Lineage: Eukaryota; Metazoa; Chordata; Lepidosauria; Squamata; Lacertidae. The record is from RNAcentral.